CAGUGGCUCAAACCAAGCCU
RNAcentral lists this small nuclear RNA (20 nucleotides) under Arabidopsis thaliana (thale cress). Its description in RNAcentral is "snRNA_04215". The record is from RNAcentral. Lineage: Eukaryota; Viridiplantae; Streptophyta; Magnoliopsida; Brassicales; Brassicaceae.